GAGAGGGUACAAUGCUAGAAGCUGCUAACCUCAAGUAACUGGAAUUAAACAACUCCAGCCCUCUC
Molecule: transfer RNA, 65 nt
Filed under: Rhineura floridana
Lineage: Eukaryota; Metazoa; Chordata; Lepidosauria; Squamata; Rhineuridae
Description: tRNA-Ser
Source: RNAcentral